Molecule: ribosomal RNA, 1378 nt
Filed under: uncultured bacterium
Lineage: Bacteria
Description: bacterial SSU rRNA
Rfam family: Bacterial small subunit ribosomal RNA
Source: RNAcentral
AUUGAACGCUGGCGGCAGGCCUAACACAUGCAAGUCGAACGGUAACAGGAAGCUUGUUGCUGCUUUGCUGACGAGUGGGGGACGGGUGAGUAAUGUCUGGGAAACUGCCCGAUGGAUGGGGAUAACUACUGGAAACGGUAGCUAAUACCGCAUAAUGUCGCAAGACCAAAGAGGGGGACCUUCGGGCCUCUUGCUAUCGGAUGUGCCCAGAUGGGAUUAGCUGGCUGGUGAGGUAACGGCUCGCCACGGCGACUAUCUCUAGCUGGUCUGAGAGGAUGACCACCCACACUGGGACUGAGACACGGCCCAUACUCCUACGGGAGGCAGCAGUGGGGAAUAUUGCACAAUGGGCGCAAGCCUGAUGCACCCAUGCCGCGUGUAUGAAGAACGCCUUCGGGUUGUAAAGUACUUUCAGCGGGGAGGAAGGGGAUGAAUUUAAUACAUUCAUUCAUUGACGCUACCCGCAGAACAAGCACCGGCUAACUCCGUGCCAGCAGCCGCGGUAAUACGGAGGGUGCAAGCGUUAAUCGGAAUUACUGGGCGUAAAGCGCACGCGUGCGGUUUGUCAAGUCAGAUGUGAAAUCGCUGGGCUUAACCUGUGAACUGCAUAUUGCACUGGUAGGCUUGAGUCUCGUAUAGGGGGGUAGAAUUCCAAGUGUAGCAGUGAAAUGCGUAGAGAUCUGAAGGAAUACCGGUGGGCGAACGCCGUCCCCCUAGUACGAAGACUGACGCUCAGGUGCGAAAGCGUGGGAAGCAACCAGGAUAGGAUACCUUGGUAGUCAACCCGGUAAACGAGGUAUAUUGCGAGGUUGUGCGCCUGACUCGUGGUGUCGGGAGCUACCCAGUUAAAUAGCCGCCUUGGGGAGUACGCCCGCAAGGUUAAAAUUCAAAUGAAUGGCGGGGGGCCCGCCCAAGCGGUGGACCAUGUGGUUUAUUUGGAUGCAACGGGAAGACCUUUCCCUGCCCUUGCCAUCCAGAGAAUUUAGCAAAGAUGAUUUGGUCCUUUCGGGAAUUAUAAGACAGUUGUUGCAUGGCGGUCUUCAGCUCGUUUUGUGAAAUGUUGGGUUAAUUCCCGCAACGAGCGCAACCUUUUUCUUUUGUUGCAACCGAUUCGGUUGGGAACUCAAAGGAGACUGCCGGUGAUAAACCGGAGGAAGGUGGGGAUGACGUCAAGUCAUCAUGGCCCUUACGGCCAGGGCUACACACGUGCUACAAUGGUGCAUACAAAGAGAAGCGACCUCGCGAGAGCAAGCGGACCUCAUAAAACGCGUCGUAGUCCGGAUUGGAGUCUGCAACUCGACUCCAUGAAGUCGGAAUCGCUAGUAAUCGUGGAUCAGAAUGCCACGGUGAAUACGUUCCCGGGCCUUGCACACACCGC